CCCAGCGUGGCGGAAUCGGCAGACGCGGCUGCCUCAAAAGCAGCUGCCCGCAAGGGCUUGUCCGUUCGAGGCGGACCGCUGGGACCA
This 87-nucleotide transfer RNA is filed under the name Variovorax paradoxus. RNAcentral's name for it is "tRNA-Leu". The record is from RNAcentral. Lineage: Bacteria; Pseudomonadati; Pseudomonadota; Betaproteobacteria; Burkholderiales; Comamonadaceae.